GAUUUCGGGAGGAAACUCCAGGAUUUGGGUCCAAACUUCAAGAUUUGGGUGCAAACUCUGGGACUGGGGCGGAAACCCUGGGAUUGGAGGGGAAACUCCGGGAUUUGGGGUGGAAACCCCAGGAUUGGGGCGCAAACUCCGGGAUUUGGGGUGGAAACUCUGGAUUUGGGGUGGAAACUCCAGAAUUUGGGGUGGAAACUCUGGGAUUUGGGGUGGAAACUCCAGGACUGGGGUGUAAACUCCAGGAUUUGGGGUGGAAACUCCAGGAUUGGGGUGGAAACUCCAGGAUUUGGGGUGGAAACUCUGGGAUUUGGGGUGCAAACUGCAGAAUUUGGGGCGCAAACUCUGGGAUUUGGGGUGGAAACCCCAGGAUUGGGGUGGAAACUCCAGGAUUUGGGGUGGAAACUCUGGGAUUUGGGUGCAAACUCCGGGAUUGGGGUGCAAACUCCGUGUUUUUCCCAUUGCUGGCUCCACAGGGGGGGGUUAAUCUUUGUUUUCCCGGCCCCGUUCCCUGCUGGAAAAGGGUCAGGGGGCCCGAGCGGGGCCGGCGCUGACNNNNNNNNNNNNNNNNNNNNUUCCCUGCUGGAAAAGGGUCAGGGGGCCCGAGCGGGGCCGGCGCUGACGUCGCUCCCGUGGCCUUUGGCUUCUCCCUCCCCCCUCCCGCGGCUCCACGGGGGAAUUUGGGCUCUUUUUGUUUUUGUUGUCGUUGGAAAAAAAAAAAAAGGUGGGGGGAAAAAAAAGGAGGAAGAGCAGGAAAAACGAGCAGAGAGAGAGCGGAACUACCUCGGUCGGGAGGUUUCAAGGAAUGCUUUUGUUUGUAACUGUCUGAAACACAGAAAGAGAAGUCGUGAGAGGACACGGACACACACGGAAAACCGGGAGAAAAGGGCAGGAAAAGCACAACCUCAGGGAGCCAGGGGAGAAUUAGUGCUGGGAAGUGGCAGGACAGGAGGAAGAAGAGAGAAGAAGGAGCUGGCGAAGCCUCCCUCACGUUCCCCAUCCCCUUCUCCCCUGGGUUGGUGGAUUGGGGGCUGGAGGGACAGAGCCCCCGCUCCAGGGGUUUUUGGGAAUUCCCAGCUCCUUAAGGGAGGGCUGGGAAUGGCUCCCAGGGACUGGGAUCCCACUGGAAAACCACUGGGAUGA
This 1143-nucleotide long non-coding RNA is filed under the name Serinus canaria (Common canary). RNAcentral's name for it is "lncRNA (ENSSCAG00000006027.1)". Lineage: Eukaryota; Metazoa; Chordata; Aves; Passeriformes; Fringillidae. The record is from RNAcentral.